UACGGAGGGGGCAAGCGUUGUUCGGAAUUAUUGGGCGUAAAGGGCGUGUAGGCGGCCGGAUAAGUCGGAUGUGAAAUCCCUCGGCUCAACUGAGGAACUGCAUUCGAUACUGUCUGGCUAGAGUCCGGGAGAGGGUAGCGGAAUUCCCAGUGUAGCGGUGAAAUGCGUAGAUAUUGGGAAGAACACCGGUAGCGAAGGCGGCUACCUGGACCGGCACUGACGCUGAGGCGCGAAAGCCAGGGGAGCGAAUGGG
Molecule: ribosomal RNA, 253 nt
Filed under: uncultured bacterium
Lineage: Bacteria
Description: partial 16S ribosomal RNA
Rfam family: Bacterial small subunit ribosomal RNA
Source: RNAcentral